This 204-nucleotide long non-coding RNA is filed under the name Linum usitatissimum (flax). Its description in RNAcentral is "long non-coding RNA (LUSI_LNC000048)". The record is from RNAcentral. Lineage: Eukaryota; Viridiplantae; Streptophyta; Magnoliopsida; Malpighiales; Linaceae.
AAUCAGCCCCUUCGCGAUCGCCGCCGCCACUACCGAAGCCGAGGGCCCCACGUCAGAGCACUGGGACCCACCGUUCACCAUGCUCCCGUUACCCCCAGCAUCCUCGUGUUCCCUCGAUCUGACAUUCUGUUUCUUGGCGGGGACUAUAGAGGAGCUAACGAGCGAUCCUCCGCCACCUCCACCGCCGAUUCCGAUCGAACUCCC